This 498-nucleotide ribosomal RNA is filed under the name uncultured bacterium. RNAcentral's name for it is "bacterial SSU rRNA". It matches the Rfam family "Bacterial small subunit ribosomal RNA", at positions 501 to 1000 of the family's 1533-position model. The record is from RNAcentral.
CUACGUGCCAGCAGCCGCGGUAAUACGGAGGGUGCGAGCGUUAAUCGGAAUAACUGGGCGUAAAGGGCACGCAGGCGGUGACUUAAGUGAGGUGUGAAAGCCCCGGGCUUAACCUGGGAAUUGCAUUUCAUACUGGGUCGCUAGGGUACUUUAGGGAGGGGUAGAAUUCCACGUGUAGCGGUGAAAUGCGUAGAGAUGUGGAGGAAUACCGAAGGCGAAGGCAGCCCCUUGGGAAUGUACUGACGCUCAUGUGCGAAAGCGUGGGGAGCAAACAGGAUUAGAUACCCUGGUAGUCCACGCUGUAAACGAUGUCGAUUUGGGGGUUGAGCUUUGAGCUUGGCGCCCGUAGCUAACGUGAUAAAUCGACCGCCUGGGGAGUACGGCCGCAAGGUUAAAACUCAAAUGAAUUGACGGGGGCCCGCACAAGCGGUGGAGCAUGUGGUUUAAUUCGAUGCAACGCGAAGAACCUUACCUACUCUUGACAUCCAGAGAACAUUC